AUGCCGGCAGAAAUACUGAAUAUACCCGGAAACCAAAGCCCAAAAGAGGGAAGCAUAAGCCGGCGGACGACAUAAAUGUCCCCGGAAACUAGGCGAACGUAAAACACUAGAAAUACAAAGCAAAUAUAGCAACCCGACAACGCAAAAGAACGAAACCAUAAACUAAGAAAGAAGCAGAAGGUAAAAACCUUAAGAAAACCAAUAGACAAAAGAAUACAAGGAAACCAUUUCUUUUGAAGCACCUGCGACAACGCACAUACAUAUUCUCCUAAAAUAACAUCUACCUUCUCCUAUCACGAUGAGAGCUGAUCUCUCGAAACCAAGAAACAAAGACUUCAGAACCCGGCAAGCAAAACCUAUGAGUUGAGAGAAUCUCGAGCACGCUUCCGAAUACGACUACGACGACUGCCACGUCCAACAAUGUCUAACUAGAAAUCAUCAAAAGGCAAACCUAUCUAAACAGAUUCACGAAAGCAAGACAAGGAGAGAGGCCCAACCUCUCAAAUAUCACCAAUCACAAGAAUGAGAACGACGAUGGAUCGAGACGGUUGUCAAACACAGCGAACAACAUCAGGGAGAAGAAGCAUCUGCAAACAUAAAGGUCUAUCAAUCCAAAACAAACAAACUAAACUUCUUCUUAGCAAGGUGACGAACCCAAAAGAAUUCAAUGGUUAAGACGAGUCGACCAGGAGCGGAUAGAAGAGCAGAGUCUGGACAGAACCUGACUAGUACCCAAACAUCACUCAACAAACGGCUUAGAGACUAUCAACGCAAGAACGACGAGGCUAGGGACGGAACAAGCAAAACCAAGGCAUGAUUCUUAGAGCAGCACCGUAGAUCCUAUACAUCCGGAGCCAACAGUUUCGCAAUAGCCACAAAUCCCAUAGACAAAGCCGCUCCAACCGAAUCCGCAAAUCACAAAAUCAAACUCGAAGCAAAUCCAAAGAAUCCCCAAACGCAAGCGGGAAAUACUCACUCAAACCAAAACAACUAGCCUCAACUACUCAAAGGAGGAAGAGCAAGAAGAAAGCUUACCCGACCCGAAACAAACCUCACCGAGAAGACCUACAACGCUGAUAAGCUAACCUCACCACCGAUCCACCAGAAGAAGCCAAGGCGAUGCAAGACAACAAAAAGACAACUUACGACGGAGCAAUAUAGCCCCUCUCACAGUGACGGCGAGGAGCGCCACUCAUCGGAGAGGGAGAUCGGAAUCAAAUUUUCUGGGUUCUCACUUCUCAGAAGUGUCGGCGGCUGAAACCCUUUGUUUUUUUGUGUAAUGAAAGAUCUAGAAAAAAGAAAAAAAAAAUUACCAUUUACAAGUUGCUAUGGUCAAAGUUUUUACU
RNAcentral lists this long non-coding RNA (1346 nucleotides) under Arabidopsis lyrata. Its description in RNAcentral is "long non-coding RNA (ALYR_LNC002846)". The record is from RNAcentral. Lineage: Eukaryota; Viridiplantae; Streptophyta; Magnoliopsida; Brassicales; Brassicaceae.